This 667-nucleotide ribosomal RNA is filed under the name uncultured bacterium. RNAcentral describes it as "bacterial SSU rRNA". It matches the Rfam family "Bacterial small subunit ribosomal RNA", at positions 301 to 980 of the family's 1533-position model. The record is from RNAcentral.
CGACCGGCCACACUGGAACUGAGACACGGUCCAGACUCCUACGGGAGGCAGCAGUGGGGAAUAUUGCACAAUGGGCGAAAGCCUGAUGCAGCGACGCCGCGUGAGGGACGACGGCCUUCGGGUUGUAAACCUCUUUCAGCAGGGACGAAGCGAAAGUGACUGUACCUGCAGAAGAAGCACCGGCUAACUACGUGCCAGCAGCCGCGGUAAUACGUAGGGUGCAAGCGUUGUCCGGAUUUAUUGGGCGUAAAGAGCUCGUAGGCGGUUUGUCGCGUCGGAUGUGAAAACCUAUGGCUUAACCAUGGGCCUGCAUUCGAUACGGGCAAACUAGAGUUCGGUAGGGGAGACUGGAACUCCUGGUGUAGCGGUGAAAUGCGCAGAUAUCAGGAAGAACACCGGUGGCGAAGGCGGGUCUCUGGGCCGAUACUGACGCUGAGGAGCGAAAGCGUGGGGAGCAAACAGGAUUAGAUACCCUGGUAGUCCACGCCGUAAACGUUGGGCGCUAGGUGUGGGGAACCUUCCACGUUCUCCGUGCCGUAGCUAACGCAUUAAGCGCCCCGCCUGGGGAGUACGGCCGCAAGGCUAAAACUCAAAGGAAUUGACGGGGCCCGCACAAGCGGCGGAGCAUGCGGCUUAAUUCGAUGCACGCGAAGAACCUUACCUGGGC